This 253-nucleotide ribosomal RNA is filed under the name Escherichia coli. RNAcentral describes it as "partial 23S ribosomal RNA". It matches the Rfam family "Bacterial large subunit ribosomal RNA", at positions 2070 to 2322 of the family's 2925-position model. The record is from RNAcentral. Lineage: Bacteria; Pseudomonadati; Pseudomonadota; Gammaproteobacteria; Enterobacterales; Enterobacteriaceae.
CCGCGGCAAGACGGAAAGACCCCGUGAACCUUUACUAUAGCUUGACACUGAACAUUGAGCCUUGAUGUGUAGGAUAGGUGGGAGGCUUUGAAGUGUGGACGCCAGUCUGCAUGGAGCCGACCUUGAAAUACCACCCUUUAAUGUUUGAUGUUCUAACGUUGACCCGUGAUCCGGGUUGCGGACAGUGUCUGGUGGGUAGUUUGACUGGGGCGGUCUCCUCCUAAAGAGUAACGGAGGAGCACGAAGGUUGGCU